AAUUCGCCCUUGAGCACGUAGGUGGGUUUGUAAGUCAGAUGUGAAAGCCUUCUGUUCAACGGAAGAAUUGCAUCUGAAACUACAAGUCUUGAGUGUAGGAGGGGAGAAUGGAACUUCUGGUGGAGCGGUGAAAUCCGUAGAUAUCAGAAGGAACGCCGGCGGCGAAAGCGAUUCUCUGGCCUAUUACUGACACUCAGUGUGCGAAAGCUAGGGGAGCAAACGGGAUUAGAUACCCCGGUAGUCCUAGCCGUAAACGAUGGGCACUAAGUAGAGGGGAUUACCGACGUUCUCUCUGCCGUAGCUAACGCAUUAAGUGCCCCGCCUGGGGAGUACGGCCGCAAGGCUAAAACUCAAAAGAAUUGACGGGGGCUCGCACAAGCGGUGGAGCAUGUGGCUUAAUUCGAUGCAACGCGAAAAACCUUACCGGGGCUUGACAUGUUAGAAGUAGGAACCCGAAAGGGUAACGAACGGUAUCCAGUCCGUGACUAUCACAGGUGUUGCAUGGCUGUCGUCAGCUCGUGUCGUGAGACGUUGGGUUAAGUCCCCUAACGAGCGAAACCCUUGUUUUUAGUUACCAGCGGGUUAUGCCGGGUACUCUAGAAAGACUGCCGUCGUCAAGACGGAGGAAGGUGGGGAUGACGUCAAGUCAUCAUGGCCCUUAUGCCCCGGGCUGCACACGCGCUACAAUGGUCGGUACAAACGGAAGCGAAGCCGAGAGGUGAAGCGAAUCCAAGGGCGAAUU
This 742-nucleotide ribosomal RNA is filed under the name uncultured Planctomycetota bacterium. RNAcentral's name for it is "bacterial SSU rRNA". It matches the Rfam family "Bacterial small subunit ribosomal RNA", at positions 552 to 1288 of the family's 1533-position model. Lineage: Bacteria; Pseudomonadati; Planctomycetota. The record is from RNAcentral.